ACGAACGCUGGCGGCGUGCUUCACACAUGCAAGUCGCACGGAAAGGCCCUGCUUUUGUGGGGUGCUCGAGUGGCGAACGGGUGAGUAACACGUGAGUAACCUGCCCUUGACUUUGGGAUAACUUCAGGAAACUGGGGCUAAUACCGGAUAGGAGCUCCUGCUGCAUGGUGGGGGUUGGAAAGUUUCGGCGGUUGGGGAUGGACUCGCGGCUUAUCAGCUUGUUGGUGGGGUAGUGGCUUACCAAGGCUUUGACGGGUAGCCGGCCUGAGAGGGUGACCGGCCACAUUGGGACUGAGAUACGGCCCAGACUCCUACGGGAGGCAGCAGUGGGGAAUAUUGCACAAUGGGCGGAAGCCUGAUGCAGCAACGCCGCGUGCGGGAUGACGGCCUUCGGGUUGUAAACCGCUUUCGCCUGUGACGAAGCGUGAGUGACGGUAAUGGGUAAAGAAGCACCGGCUAACUACGU
RNAcentral lists this ribosomal RNA (466 nucleotides) under uncultured bacterium. RNAcentral's name for it is "partial 16S ribosomal RNA". It matches the Rfam family "Bacterial small subunit ribosomal RNA", at positions 29 to 506 of the family's 1533-position model. The record is from RNAcentral.